RNAcentral lists this long non-coding RNA (1349 nucleotides) under Cavia porcellus (domestic guinea pig). Its description in RNAcentral is "lncRNA (ENSCPOG00000035258.1)". The record is from RNAcentral. Lineage: Eukaryota; Metazoa; Chordata; Mammalia; Rodentia; Caviidae.
AUGUGUUGCAGCUAUGGAAUGGUGAAAGGGCGAAUCUUGAAGCCUGCCUUUGCUUUCACCAGUCAGGAUUUGGGAUUUCUCUUGAGCUUUGCCAAUUCCGCAGCAAGAAUGAAGCCCAUCAACCUGUUCUUCGCAGCCUGUGGGUUUCUGGGCACUUACCACUUGGGGGCGGCAGCUGCCUUUUGUAGGCACGGCAAGGAACUCCUGAAGAAUGUCCAGGCUUUCGCAGGGGCCACUGCAGCAUCCUUGGUUGCUUCUGUCCUGCUAACGGCACCAGGAAAAAUAGAGGAAUGCAAUGAAUUUACCUAUAAGCUGGCCGCGGAAACCAGAAGGCAGUUUCUCAGGGCAGUGACACCGGGUUAUGACUUCAUGGCCCGCCUGAGGAGCGGGAUGGAGUCCAUUCUUCCUACUAACGCCCAUGAGCUGGCCCAGAAUCGACUGCACGUGUCUAUCACCAACACCAAGCCCGGCAGAAUUACCUGGUCUCAGAUUUUUCCUCCAGGGAAGACCUCAUUAAGGUCCUCCUGGCUAGGAGCUUUGUGCCCAUUUACGCCAGACUGAGACCAGUGGAAUACCAAGGACAGGUCUCCUCAAAGCGAGUAGAAAACUUGUCACCACCUAAAUAUGAAGUCACCUGUUCCUGCCCGCUCCUGCCUGGAAUCAACUAAUGUCUGGGUAGACUGCGUCCUCUAAGAGCCCCUUCUGUAAACGCAGAACUGAGUCUCCGUAAAAGCUGGCCUCCUGAAAAUGCUCACACUGACGACAUUUGCAUCUUAAGGAUGUCUUAGGCGCCUGCCAUUCUGCUAUGUUUUUUGAAAGUGGAUUUUACCCCUCACAAACACACUGCAAGAAUAGUAUUUUUGAAACUUGUUAUUAGUAAUUUGAUUUCAAUAUGUAUGAAGGCAUGAACAGCUAUUUUGAAGAAAAGGAGACAUUAUGGUAGCCAUCAUGAAUUUCCUAGUGACUGGUCUUGAAAGCUCUUAAGGCUCUCAUUCUUGGGUUUUGAUUGCUUUUAUACUCUUAUUUUGUAUUAACUUAUUGUGUGUGAAGGUAUGCACAACUGUUUUUGAAGAGAGCAAGAGACAUUAUGGCAACGACUGUUGAUUUUCUGCUGUAUUUUUCUGAAAUCAUGUGUUAUUUGCAUUGCUUUAUUCUGCUCUGCUUGGUUCUAUUUUGUUUUAUUCUCUUUGAAAUAAAAAUAUUUUUUGAAAUAAAAUUAAUUUUAAUUAUUAUUAUUAGCAUAAGUUUGCACACACAGUGAAUAUAUUUUUGCGAGGUAUGGAUACAAAUACAUACAGCAUUUUGAUCUUUGUUUUUCUUCCCUCUUUCCAAUAUUCACAGUCUUUCAC